UACGAAGGGUGCAAGCGUUAAUCGGAAUUACUGGGCGUAAAGCGCGCGUAGGUGGUUCAGCAAGUUGGAUGUGAAAGCCCUGGGCUCAACCUGGGAACUGCAUCCAAAACUACUGAGCUAGAGUACGGUAGAGGGUAGUGGAAUUUCCUGUGUAGCGGUGAAAUGCGUAGAUAUCGAGAGGAACACCUGCGGCGAAGGCGGGUUGCUGGGCUGACACUGACGCUGAGGCGCGAAAGCUAGGGGAGCGAACGGG
This 253-nucleotide ribosomal RNA is filed under the name uncultured prokaryote. RNAcentral's name for it is "partial 16S ribosomal RNA". It matches the Rfam family "Bacterial small subunit ribosomal RNA", at positions 524 to 776 of the family's 1533-position model. The record is from RNAcentral.